CAGUUCAUUUAAACUGUAUAUUUCACAAUUUACAGUCUAGUAGGCUAGUAGCAUAUUUGACUGGAAACCAGAAACAACAGUUUGUGUGAUAGAUAGUCAGGUUCAGUGAAACAUUUAAUGCAGAAGGUUGGAGAAGUUUGCACUACAAAGUAGCUAGCAUCAUACUCUUGGCCUAACCACUAAAUCUAAAGUGAUUCAAAUGGGCAGAACCAUUCAACAUUACCAUGUUUGCUGCUUGAAAAUUAAACUCAAACUGCAAUAGUAAAAGUAUUUUACAAAGCAUUUGUAGAUGAAAUUUGGAGAACAAAGUCUUAUUAAUUAUGAACUAAUCUGAAGGAUCCUCUUAUCCAUAAUUUUCAACCAACAUUUUCAAGGCUUGUAUUGUAUGGCAUGG
This 394-nucleotide long non-coding RNA is filed under the name Trifolium pratense (red clover). RNAcentral's name for it is "long non-coding RNA (TPRA_LNC005786)". The record is from RNAcentral. Lineage: Eukaryota; Viridiplantae; Streptophyta; Magnoliopsida; Fabales; Fabaceae.